This 745-nucleotide ribosomal RNA is filed under the name uncultured Pseudomonadota bacterium. Its description in RNAcentral is "bacterial SSU rRNA". It matches the Rfam family "Bacterial small subunit ribosomal RNA", at positions 153 to 887 of the family's 1533-position model. The record is from RNAcentral. Lineage: Bacteria; Pseudomonadati; Pseudomonadota.
CUAAGAUGUGCUUAUACCGCCAAAACUCCAUGGAGAAAAGCAGGGGAUCUUAAGACCUUGCCCUUAAGGAGCGGCCGAAGCCUGAUUAACUAGUUGGUGGGGUAAAAGCCUACCAAGGCUACGAUCAGUAGUUGGUCUGAAAGGACGACCAACCACACUGGGACUGAAACACGGUCCAGACUCCUACGGGAGGCAGCAUUGGGGAAUUUUGGACAAUGGGCGAAAGCCUGAUCCAUCCAUGCCGCGUGAGUGAAGAAGGCCUUCCGGUUGUAAAGCUCUUUCAGUCCGAAAGAAACGAUUGCGACUAAUACUUGUUAUUAAUGACGGUACCGACAGAAUAAGCACCGGCUUACUACGUGCCAACCGCCGCGGUAAUACGUAGGGUGCGAGCGUUAAUCGGAAUUACUGGGCGUAAACGGUGCGCAGGCGGUUUUGUAAGUCUUAUGUGAAAUCCCCGGGCUUAGACCUGGGAAUUGCGUUUGAAACUGCCAGGCUAGAGUGCAGUAUAGGGGAGUGGAAUUCCACGUGUAUCAGUGAAAUGCGUUCAGAUGUGUAAGAACACCGAUGGCGAAUGCCCCUCCCUGGGUUAGCACUGACGCUCUUGCACGAAAAGCGCGGGGAGCAAACUGGAUUACAUUACCCCUGGUAGUUCCACCGCCCAUAAAAUGAUGUCUAUUUAGUUUGUCCGGAUCUAAACUAAACGGAUUUUGGUCAACAGUAAUCCUAACCGCUUGGAAUUUUGAAC